AAUAGCUAGUGAAGACUAAAUUUAGAUAUGAACUCAAGUUUGGGGAAAAGAUAUUUGGAGUAUAUAAGCUUUUAAAAAAAAGGAAUAAACACCGUGGCAUGCUUGUCUAGUUUUGUGGCCUUUGUUACUUGAGUAAGUAAGCCCGAGGGGAUUGUCUCUACACCUAGCGCCCUAAGGUCUUAAUAGCUUGGUAGUUGUUGGUCGAAAGCUCGUUAAGGUAGCAUUGAAAAGCCUAAGGGAAUAAGACAAUGCAUAGUCAUGAGGAAAAAAAAAUAAACAAAAAAUAUAUACAAUAAAGCGGGAAAAGUGCAAAAAGCCCCCGUUAUAGAAAAAGAAGAAGCAUAAGUACUCCAUUUUGACCCUUGUAUUUUGGUGAUUGUUUAAUUUCUGUUGAAUCUAGUUUAUUUGAUGAGUUCUCGAGUUGAAACUGUAUGAUGC
Molecule: long non-coding RNA, 438 nt
Filed under: Panax ginseng (ginseng)
Lineage: Eukaryota; Viridiplantae; Streptophyta; Magnoliopsida; Apiales; Araliaceae
Description: long non-coding RNA (PGIN_LNC001238)
Source: RNAcentral